AGCUUUUAGGAGGUAGAGCAAAGGACUGAAAAUCCUUGUGUCGUUGGUUCGAUUCCAAUCAUCACCA
This 67-nucleotide transfer RNA is filed under the name Adhaeribacter radiodurans. Its description in RNAcentral is "Adhaeribacter sp. KUDC8001 tRNA-Phe". It matches the Rfam family "tRNA", at positions 9 to 71 of the family's 71-position model. From Rfam's summary of the family: Transfer RNA (tRNA) molecules are approximately 80 nucleotides in length. Their secondary structure includes four short double-helical elements and three loops (D, anti-codon, and T loops). Further hydrogen bonds mediate the characteristic L-shaped molecular structure. tRNAs have two regions of fundamental functional importance: the anti-codon, which is responsible for specific mRNA codon recognition, and the 3' end, to which the tRNAs corresponding amino acid is attached (by aminoacyl-tRNA synthetases). tRNAs cope with the degeneracy of the genetic code in two manners: having more than one tRNA (with a specific anti-codon) for a particular amino acid; and 'wobble' base-pairing, i.e. permitting non-standard base-pairing at the 3rd anti-codon position. The record is from RNAcentral. Lineage: Bacteria; Pseudomonadati; Bacteroidota; Cytophagia; Cytophagales; Hymenobacteraceae.